RNAcentral lists this ribosomal RNA (255 nucleotides) under Escherichia coli. Its description in RNAcentral is "partial 23S ribosomal RNA". It matches the Rfam family "Bacterial large subunit ribosomal RNA", at positions 1646 to 1883 of the family's 2925-position model. Lineage: Bacteria; Pseudomonadati; Pseudomonadota; Gammaproteobacteria; Enterobacterales; Enterobacteriaceae. The record is from RNAcentral.
ACCCCAAACCGACACAGGUGGUCAGGUAGAGAAUACCAAGGCGCUUGAGAGAACUCGGGUGAAGGAACUAGGCAAAAUGGUGCCGUAACUUCGGGAGAAGGCACGCUGGUAUGUAGGUGAAGUCCCUUGCGGAUGGAGCUGAAAUCAGUCGAAGAUACCAGCUGGCUGCAACUGUUUAUUAAAAACACAGCACUGUGCAAACACGAAAGUGGACGUAUACGGUGUGACGCCUGCCCGGUGCCGGAAGGUUAAUUG